UACGGAGGGGGCUAGCGUUGUUCGGAAUUACUGGGCGUAAAGCACACGUAGGCGGGCUGGCCAGUUGGGGGUGAAAUCCCGAGGUUUUAACUCGGAAGUGCCCUCAAUACUGCCAGUCUAGAGUCCGGGAGAGUUGAGUGGAAUUCCUAGUGUAGAGGUGAAAUUAGUAGAUAUUAGGAAGAACACCAGUGGCGAAGGCGGCUCACUGGCCCAGUACUGACGCUGAGGCGCGAAAGCGUAGGGAGCAAACAGG
RNAcentral lists this ribosomal RNA (253 nucleotides) under uncultured bacterium. RNAcentral's name for it is "partial 16S ribosomal RNA". It matches the Rfam family "Bacterial small subunit ribosomal RNA", at positions 524 to 776 of the family's 1533-position model. The record is from RNAcentral.